Molecule: long non-coding RNA, 2201 nt
Filed under: Zea mays
Lineage: Eukaryota; Viridiplantae; Streptophyta; Magnoliopsida; Poales; Poaceae
Description: long non-coding RNA (ZMAY_LNC005247)
Rfam family: Plant signal recognition particle RNA (bases 1282-1586)
Source: RNAcentral
CUCAGUAGCGAGAGCUUGUAACCUAAGCGGGGGCAUUAAGGUGGUGUGGAUGUUUCCUGACGGAUUCUGGGCCUGGGCCUGUAUGUGCCACUGGCCGGCCUGCCCGUUCCAAGUUGGUUGUGGCUGGUGGGGCUCGGGCGAAGGCCUGGGCCUCUUUAGACCUGAAGCGGCAGGCAUGGCGUGAGGCUGGCUUCACAGAGCAGCGAUCACUGCCCGCUUCCAACGGUGGGAGGAUAACAGGCCGCUGCAUUGCAAGCCCAACUCGGUCCAGAGCCUCAUUAAACAGACCACCAUCUUUUUGUUUUUUUUGGACUGUUCUUCCCUCGGCGCAAAAAAUGUUUUUGCUUUUAAUAAAUCUGUUUAUCUCCAGACUUCUCUAUGACUCAAAUCUAUCAUCAAUCUCCCUGUAUGCAACAAAUAUUUUUGCCGUCUCCUAUUUGUAUGGCCUUCGUUCCUGAAAGUUGGAUACAGUUUCCAGAUGAUCGGAACCCGCCGACGACAACAUUGGCGCUACCUGGGGCCCUGAAUUCUCGGGGCGCAGAUGGCAAAUGCUGCCCAAUCCGGCUAUUGUCAUCUGUUUGUUCCUUUUAGUGUACAACAAACUCAUCAAUUCUUGCACUCCCAUUUAAGAUCGGCCAAAAUGACUCAAUGCUGCAACCAAGUGCUUCUACAGUGUUAUAUGCUAAUAGAGCAAACAACAUAACUAUAACAGGAGUAGAGACUUGAUUAUAAGCUAAAAGAAAUGUGGUCCUAGUUUUGAUCGCAAAGGGGUGACGACAACGACCAGUUUUAUUGAUAGGUACACACUGUCUCCGUUCGUUGCCUUGGCUGGUUUCUCUAGUAGAACUCCUGGUAGUGCUACCAACCUUUUAUCUCGCGUCAAACCGAAAUACAGGAAAAUAUUCAUUGCGUAUAAGUUGUUUGAAUCACCAGCUGCCAUGGGAGCAAAGCUGAUACGACGAAUUCCUCACAAUUCUUCAUGCCUCGUACAAAUCAUAUGUUCCUCCCUAGCCUAGCAUUAAUUUGACUAGUAUAUAGGAACAAAUGCGUUUGAGAGGGGAUAUCUUUACAGUUCUAUCCGGCUUGUGUGACGGAAAAUGACAAAACGUGCCAAGGCAAAGUGUUCUGGGCCGACUAAAAGUAUUUAUUUCGUCGAGAGAAGCAACGAAGCCCACUCCUCCGAGACACUGUUCCCUCCCACGUGACCUGUCAUUUAGCACCACCUCGGCAGUCUCAGUCUGUUCGUACCAGCUUAAAUAUUCUUCGUGACUGCCUGGUCUAGCCGAGUUCUGUAGCUGGAGCUUGUAACCCGAGCGGGGGCAUUAAGGUGGCGCGGAUGCUUUGCGAUGGUUUCUGGGCCUGGGCUCGUUGUGACUCUAGCCGGCUUGCCCAUCCCAAGUUGGUAGUGUCUGACGGGGCUCUAGCGAAAGCUUUGGGUCUCUGCAGACCUACAGCGGCAGGAAUGGCGUAAGGCUGGCUUCACAGAGCAGCGAUCACUGCCCACUUCCAACGGUGGGAGGAUAACAAGCCGCUGCACUUUGAGCCCAACACAGACCCAGAUCCUCUCUUAGCAAACCACCAUCUUUUUUAUUUUUGCCCCUGUUCGGACAACUCAUUUUUCUUUGUGAAAAAAUUCGGCUACUGUUUGUUGGUGGGAGAGAGAAAAAGAUUAUAUUUUGAAGUUUUGAGGUCAGUUUCCAUCCGGCUUGUGUGACGGAAAAUGACAAAACGUGCCAAGGCAAAGUGUUCUGGGCCGACUAAAAGUAUUUAUUUCGUCGAGAGAAGCAACGAAGCCCACUCCUCCGAGACACUGUUCCCUCCCACGUGACCUGUCAUUUAGCACCACCUCGGCAGUCUCAGUCUGUUCGUACCAGCUUAAAUAUUCUUCGCGACCGCCUGGUCUCGCCGAGUUCUGUAGCUAGAGCUUGUUACCCGAGCGGGGGCAUUAAGGUGGCGCGGAUGCUUUGCGAAUGUUUCUGGGUCUGGGCUCGUUGUGACACUGGCCGGCUUGCCCAUCCCAAGUUGGUAGUGUCUGGCGGGGCUCUAGCGUCUCUGCAGACCUGGAGUGGCAGGAAUGGCGUGAGGCUGGCUUCACAGAGCAGCGAACACUGUCCACUUCCAACGGUGGGAGGAUAACAAGAGCCGCUGCACUUUGAACCCAACACAGGCCCAGAACCUCACUAAGCAAACCACCAUCUUUU